GAUUUCUGACAGACCGUUGCGGCCCGUGCUCGUUUCGGGCGUGUGUGCCGUGUCGUGUUUGUCAUCCUUCCAGAGAGCUGCGUCUACCAUUUACUUGGCCGGACGUACGCGAUCUGGAUCGAUUACUUUGAAAAAAUUAGAGUGUUUAAAGCAGGCUUACGCUGUGAAUACAUUAGCAUGGAAUAAUAAUCUAGGACUUUGGUUCUAUUUUGUUGGUUUCUAGGAUCGAAGUAAUGAUUGAUAGGGAUAGUUGGGGGUGCUAGUAUUCCGCGGCCAGAGGUGAAAUUCUUGGAUUCGUGGAAGACUAACUACUGCGAAAGCAUU
Molecule: ribosomal RNA, 324 nt
Filed under: uncultured Trinematidae
Lineage: Eukaryota; Cercozoa; Imbricatea; Euglyphida; Trinematidae
Description: SSU rRNA
Rfam family: Eukaryotic small subunit ribosomal RNA (bases 112-324)
Source: RNAcentral